GAUGAACGCUAGCUACAGGCUUAACACAUGCAAGUCGAGGGGCAGCAUGGUCUUAGCUUGCUAAGGCCGAUGGCGACCGGCGCACGGGUGAGUAACACGUAUCCAACCUGCCGUCUACUCUUGGACAGCCUUCUGAAAGGAAGAUUAAUACAAGAUGGCAUCAUGAGUCCACAUGUUCACAUGAUUAAAGGUAUUCCGGUAGACGAUGGGGAUGCGUUCCAUUAGAUAGUAGGCGGGGUAACGGCCCACCUAGUCUUCGAUGGAUAGGGGUUCUGAGAGGAAGGUCCCCCACAUUGGAACUGAGACACGGUCCAAACUCCUACGGGAGGCAGCAGUGAGGAAUAUUGGUCAAUGGGCGAGAGCCUGAACCAGCCAAGUAGCGUGAAGGAUGACUGCCCUAUGGGUUGUAAACUUCUUUUAUAAAGGAAUAAAGUCGGGUAUGUAUACCCGUUUGCAUGUACUUUAUGAAUAAGGAUCGGCUAACUCCGUGCCAGCAGCCGCGGUAAUACGGAGGAUCCGAGCGUUAUCCGGAUUUAUUGGGUUUAAAGGGAGCGUAGAUGGAUGUUUAAGUCAGUUGUGAAAGUUUGCGGCUCAACCGUAAAAUUGCAGUUGAUACUGGAUAUCUUGAGUGCAGUUGAGGCAGGCGGAAUUCGUGGUGUAGCGGUGAAAUGCUUAGAUAUCACGAAGAACUCCGAUUGCGAAGGCAGCCUGCUAAGCUGCAACUGACAUUGAGGCUCGA
RNAcentral lists this ribosomal RNA (739 nucleotides) under uncultured Bacteroidales bacterium. RNAcentral's name for it is "bacterial SSU rRNA". It matches the Rfam family "Bacterial small subunit ribosomal RNA", at positions 28 to 756 of the family's 1533-position model. Lineage: Bacteria; Pseudomonadati; Bacteroidota; Bacteroidia; Bacteroidales. The record is from RNAcentral.